AAACCCAGUGUGAUUCGUCACACUAUCAUUAACUGAAUCCAUAGGUUAAUGAGGCGAACCGGGGGAACUGAAACAUCUAAGUACCCCGAGGAAAAGAAAUCAACCGAGAUUCCCCCAGUAGCGGCGAGCGAACGGGGAGGAGCCCAGAGCCUGAAUCAGCAUGUGUGUUAGUGGAAGCGUCUGGAAAGGCGCGCGAUACAGGGUGACAGCCCCGUACACAAAAGCGCAUGUGCUGUGAGCUCGAUGAGUAGGGCGGGACACGUGGUAUCCUGUCUGAAUAUGGGGGGACCAUCCUCCAAGGCUAAAUACUCCUGACUGACCGAUAGUGAACCAGUACCGUGAGGGAAAGGCGAAAAGAACCCCGGCGAGGGGAGUGAAAAAGAACCUGAAACCGUGUACGUACAAGCAGUGGGAGCACCCUUUGGGUGUGACUGCGUACCUUUUGUAUAAUGGGUCAGCGACUUAUAUUCUGUAGCAAGGUUAACCGAAUAGGGGAGCCGGAGGGAAACCGAGUCUUAACCGGGCGUUAAGUUGCAGGGUAUAGACCCGAAACCCGGUGAUCUAGCCAUGGGCAGGUUGAAGGUUGGGUAACACUAACUGGAGGACCGAACCGACUAAUGUUGAAAAAUUAGCGGAUGACCUGUGGCUGGGGGUGAAAGGCCAAUCAAACCGGGAGAUAGCUGGUUCUCCCCGAAAGCUAUUUAGGUAGCGCCUCGUGAAUUCAUCUCCGGGGGUAGAGCACUGUUUCGGCUAGGGGGCCAUCCCGGCUUACCAACCCGAUGCAAACUGCGAAUACCGGAGAAUGUUAUCACGGGAGACACACGGCGGGUGCUAACGUCCGUCGUGAAGAGGGAAACAACCCAGACCGCCAGCUAAGGUCCCAAAGUCAUGGUUAAGUGGGAAACGAUGUGGGAAGGCCCAGACAGCCAGGAUGUUGGCUUAGAAGCAGCCAUCAUUUAAAGAAAGCGUAAUAGCUCACUGGUCGAGUCGGCCUGCGCGGAAGAUGUAACGGGGCUAAACCAUGCACCGAAGCUGCGGCAGCGACACUGUGUGUUGUUGGGUAGGGGAGCGUUCU
RNAcentral lists this ribosomal RNA (1075 nucleotides) under Salmonella enterica subsp. enterica serovar Enteritidis. RNAcentral's name for it is "partial 23S ribosomal RNA". It matches the Rfam family "Bacterial large subunit ribosomal RNA", at positions 124 to 1242 of the family's 2925-position model. Lineage: Bacteria; Pseudomonadati; Pseudomonadota; Gammaproteobacteria; Enterobacterales; Enterobacteriaceae. The record is from RNAcentral.